AGUGAACGCUGGCGGUAGGCCUAACACAUGCAAGUCGAACGGCAGCACAGUAAGAGCUUGCUCUUACGGGUGGCGAGUGGCGGACGGGUGAGGAAUACAUCGGAAUCUACUUUUUCGUGGGGGAUAACGUAGGGAAACUUACGCUAAUACCGCAUACGACCUACGGGUGAAAGCAGGGGAUCUUCGGACCUUGCGCGAUUGAAUGAGCCGAUGUCGGAUUAGCUAGUUGGCGGGGUAAAGGCCCACCAAGGCGACGAUCCGUAGCUGGUCUGAGAGGAUGAUGAGCCACACUGGAACUGAGACACGGUCCAGACUCCGACGGGAGGCAGCAGUGGGGAAUAUUGGAAAAUGGGCGCAAGCCUGAUCCAGCCAUACCGCGUGGGUGAAGAAGGCCUUCGGGUUGUAAAGCCCUUUUGUUGGGAAAGAAAAGCAGCAGGUUAAUACCCCGCUGUUCUGACGGUACCCAAAGAAUAAGCACCGGCUAACUUCGUG
RNAcentral lists this ribosomal RNA (492 nucleotides) under uncultured bacterium. Its description in RNAcentral is "partial 16S ribosomal RNA". It matches the Rfam family "Bacterial small subunit ribosomal RNA", at positions 29 to 507 of the family's 1533-position model. The record is from RNAcentral.